GUCAGAAUGCCUCUGUUCUCUUCUGUAUGACUUCAUUAGAGAAUUUGGGCUUCUUAUGGCAUGGCAGCUGAGUUUCAAGGGAAAGCACUGUAAGUGGAAUUCAGCAGAACUGAAAGCUGCAAAUCUUAAGGCCCAGCUCCAAAGAUAAAAAGUGUCACUUCUGCCAAAUGCUAUUGGUCAAAAACUCCCAGCUUCCAAGCCCACACAGUUUUGCUGAUGACAAAUGAAAUCUUGAAGAACACCCAUCUCUUGUGAAAACAAUAAGGACAGUAUAAGAAAACAAAACAACAGUAAUCUUACUAUCAAGUGAUGGAGUUUCGCUCUUGUUAUCCAGGCUGGAGUGCAAUGGCGCGAUCUCGGCUCACCGCAACCUCCACCUCCUGCGUUCAGGCAAUUCUCCUGCCUCAGUCUCCUGAGUAGCUGGGAUUACAGGCACGCACCACCGUGCCCAGCUUGGUCCUCAUUUUUAAAAUAUUACAAAUGAAACUCUGAUGAAUAUCCUGGUACAAUUGUCAUAUGCUUACUUACUACUUUAUCAGGUUAAAACAUUAUUUUCCAUGCAACACCUAUUUUAUCCUUUUUUCGAAUUCAUGGUUCAUGCUUUUCUUAUUAAGGUGCAAUCGUUCUUCACACAGUAAAGAUAUUAACAUUUGUAACAUGUGUGUCAAAUGUUCCACCAAUUUUUCAUCCAUCUCUUUUAUAUUAUGAUGUUUUUAUUGAUUUGCAGAAG
Long non-coding RNA from Callithrix jacchus (white-tufted-ear marmoset), 730 nucleotides. RefSeq lists it as uncharacterized. Lineage: Eukaryota; Metazoa; Chordata; Mammalia; Primates; Cebidae. The record is from RefSeq and is a predicted model, not a curated record.